This 71-nucleotide transfer RNA is filed under the name Marmota monax (woodchuck). Its description in RNAcentral is "tRNA.Ala". The record is from RNAcentral. Lineage: Eukaryota; Metazoa; Chordata; Mammalia; Rodentia; Sciuridae.
GGGGUUGUGGCUCAGUGGUAGAGCCCCCGCUCAGCACGUGCGAGGCCCUGGGUUUGAUCCUCAGCACCACA